CAAAAGGCUCUUUUCAGAGCCACUCACUUUCCAAGAAAGCCAGCU
Non-coding RNA from Loxodonta africana (African savanna elephant), 45 nucleotides. Lineage: Eukaryota; Metazoa; Chordata; Mammalia; Proboscidea; Elephantidae. The record is from Rfam.